UUCCUAUGUUUGAGGAGGUAACUGUGAGCCUGGAACUUGUUUCUUUAAAUGAUGUCCUAACUGAUCUUGAUUGACGCCUAGAUUUUUAUCCUUUGAAACCUUAGGAAAGUCUAGAACUGUCCAAAGAAUAGAGGUCCUAAAAUACCUUCAGGGUCACAAGGAAGGGAUGGGUACUACAUCUUCUCUUAUUUUUAAUUAUGUGUUUAAAACUAUUUAUUUGUUAAAGGACUAGUUCAUAAGUAUAAGUUCGGCGGGGACUCACUGUUGUGGACCAAGAGAGGUACCUAACACCUUCCGCUCAAGGUUAUUAUAAGCCAUUAUCCUUAAUCUAUAUUAAUGCAAACCAAUGUAAGUCUGGGUACCCUAAAGCUCCAUAAUCCGUUAGGUGGAGACUCUUAAAAAAACCAAAUCCUAAAAGGAAAUAAGUUAUUACCCCAUGAAUGUCGAAACCCCCGUCAAGGGAGGAAAAAGGGGGUGCGACAACGAUAUUUUCAGAAUCCUAAUUUACAAAAACUUAGCCUACAGGCAACAAGAAUCAGAGAGAUCUAACAUGGAUCAUGUUGAAACAAUGGGAUAAAGCUUUUAAUCAAAAAGCACAAGACAUGGAUAUAUCUAAUAUCAUUUCAAAUAAUGAAUACCUCACUUAAUCUAACAUAUAUUAUCAUACAAACACACUAAAUAAGACAACCAAACAUCAUAGAAUGAAAAAUAGAAACAUCUUUAAGCUCUUCAUCUAGCAAAGUCACUCCUGAUUUUUGAAUUUUACGCUAGCAACAGAGAAUCAUCAGGAUGCCAAAUUUAAUACAUAAGAUAUGAGAACGAGAUGAACCUCUCAAGGCUUUCAAUUGAUCUUUCAGCAAAUUACAGCAAUCGAAAUGAAAUGAAUUUGAUGAAUCCACAACUAGAACUUAACCAAAACCUCUAACUAAAAACGCGAAACCUCAGCCUUCGAACUCGAAUAGCAGCUUCAAUAGCGAGGAGAUCGUUUAAAUCAACUCCAGUUUGAACGAAAAACAGAAAAGGAAAAUGGAAUUUUUUUUCGAAUUUUUAGAUUUUUGAAGCAAUACUAAGAACAAGCAAAACAAAACUAAUCAAUCCACGACUCCUGUUAAUCUGAAUAGUACCCUAAAGAGAAUCUAAGGGCAUAAAAUCUUGAAGGAAUAAUUCCGUUUGUCAGAGUUAGUUACGCUAUGUGGCAUUAGGAUAGAGGAGGGGGUACGUGAGAUGAGUUUGGGAUGAACUCAUCUGAAACUCAGACGAGUUUGGGCAAUUUCUGGUGAAGCUCGGCGCAGCGAAAAUAGGUUAGAUGGGUGACACCGUUUUUGGUGUUUGGAUUUAGGUUUAGGGUUUGGGGGAAUAUGUGGGUUAUAUUUGUUUGGGGAUUGGGGGUGGGGGGUUGACCCGGCCUG
RNAcentral lists this long non-coding RNA (1409 nucleotides) under Nicotiana benthamiana. RNAcentral's name for it is "long non-coding RNA (NBEN_LNC022167)". Lineage: Eukaryota; Viridiplantae; Streptophyta; Magnoliopsida; Solanales; Solanaceae. The record is from RNAcentral.